GGAGAGAUGCCCGAGUUGGUCGAAGGGGCACGCCUGGAGAGCGUGUGUACACUCGUUGUACCCUGGGUUCGAAUCCCAGUCUCUCCG
Molecule: transfer RNA, 87 nt
Filed under: Chitinivibrionales bacterium
Lineage: Bacteria; Pseudomonadati; Fibrobacterota; Chitinivibrionia; Chitinivibrionales
Description: tRNA-Ser
Rfam family: tRNA
About the family: Transfer RNA (tRNA) molecules are approximately 80 nucleotides in length. Their secondary structure includes four short double-helical elements and three loops (D, anti-codon, and T loops).
Source: RNAcentral